GAUGAACGCUGGCGGCGUGCCUAAUACAUGCAAGUCGAGCGAACAGACGAGGAGCUUUCUCCUCUGACGUUAGCGGCGGACGGGGGAGUAACACGUGGAUACCCUCCCUAUUAGACUGGGAUAACUUCGUGAAACCGGAGCUAAUACCGGAUAAUCUAUUUAACCGCAUGGUUCAAUAGUGAAAGACGGUUUUGCUUUCACUUAUACAUUCAUCCGCGCCGCAUUAGCUAGUUGGUAAGGUAACGGCUUACCAAGGCAACGAUGCGUAGCCGACCUGAGAGGGUGAUCGGCCACACUGGAACGGAGACACGGUCCAGACUCCUACGGGAGGCAGCAGUAGGGAAUCUUCCGCAAUGGGCGAAAGCUUGACGGAGCAACGCCGCGUGAGUGAUGAAGGUCUUCGGAUCGUAAAACUCUGUUAUUAGGGAAGAACAAAUGUGUAAGUAACUAUGCACGUCUUGACGGUACCUAAUCAGAAAGCCACGGCUAACUACGUG
This 497-nucleotide ribosomal RNA is filed under the name uncultured bacterium. RNAcentral describes it as "partial 16S ribosomal RNA". It matches the Rfam family "Bacterial small subunit ribosomal RNA", at positions 28 to 507 of the family's 1533-position model. The record is from RNAcentral.